Molecule: non-coding RNA, 109 nt
Filed under: Neobacillus vireti
Lineage: Bacteria; Bacillati; Bacillota; Bacilli; Caryophanales; Bacillaceae
Also listed under: 1 other name
Description: Bacillus vireti SAM-I sequence
Rfam family: SAM riboswitch aptamer (S box leader)
About the family: The SAM riboswitch is found upstream of a number of genes which code for proteins involved in methionine or cysteine biosynthesis in Gram-positive bacteria.
Source: RNAcentral
CUCUUAUCAAGAGAGGUGGAGGGAUGUGCCCGAUGAAGCCCGGCAACCGUCAAUAUUUGUAUUGAAAUGGUGCCAAUUCACACAAAGCAAUUGCUUUGGGAGAUGGGAG